Mus caroli (Ryukyu mouse) is the source of this 569-nucleotide long non-coding RNA. RefSeq lists it as uncharacterized. The record is from RefSeq and is a predicted model, not a curated record. NCBI's taxonomy places the organism in Eukaryota, Metazoa, Chordata, Mammalia, Rodentia, Muridae.
CACCCGUGAUACGUCCGUCCACUGGAGGGCGUCUGGAUCCCCAGAUGGGUCUUUGAGGCCUUCAUGGCUGGCUUUGCUCUGGAUCUUCAGUGGUGCACACAGCUAAGGAAGAUCUUAUGAUUGAUGCUGUCUUCAAUUCACUGGAUCACAUAGCAUCAUAGCAGAGCCACGAAAAGAAUGCUUCUGAAUUCAAAAGCAGAUGACGUACCAUGGUGAUAACGGAAAAGCCCAUCGCUCAAUUUGCACUGCCCGAAACAUCGAUCAAUUUUUGAGAAGAAAAUGGAAUUUUCAGAGCUCUCACGCUCCUCCUAGAUAUUGGAAGCAUAAAAUAACGCACCACAUGCCAACGUGGAUAAGCCCCGCAGCAGGCAGCAUCUCACUGUAACCCCUGGAUGCAAGCCAGCCAACUUGUACAUCGUGGGACAGGACUUUUCAGAUUUGCUAAAGUGACAGCAUGCUUUAUCACAGGAGACAUCUUGAAGAAUGGUGCUCCAGGAAUGGCGUCAUGAGAAAUGCGAUUGUCAAAUUGUAAGCGUUCAAAGCAGAGGGAUAGUGCUGUUUUCUUCCAC